RNAcentral lists this RNase P RNA (306 nucleotides) under Thermoprotei archaeon. RNAcentral's name for it is "RNase P RNA component". It matches the Rfam family "Archaeal RNase P". Rfam says of the family: Ribonuclease P (RNase P) is a ubiquitous endoribonuclease, found in archaea, bacteria and eukarya as well as chloroplasts and mitochondria. Its best characterised activity is the generation of mature 5'-ends of tRNAs by cleaving the 5'-leader elements of precursor-tRNAs. The record is from RNAcentral. Lineage: Archaea; Thermoproteati; Thermoproteota; Thermoprotei.
UGGAGGGGCCGGGCGGCUGUCGGUGAGCCUGGAGCCAUCAGGCUCGCUGAGGAAGCUCCCCCAUCCAGGGCCAGCGCGGCGCCGUAAGGCGCCACCUCGAGAGGGGUGCGGAGAGCACAGCAACGACACGUCUACCGGUGGGGUGGCGUUGAUGGGGCGUGGACCCCUUGAGGACCCCGGUAGGACCGUUGAAACGGGCUCUCCGCGCGCGGAUAAAGACGAGCCGUGGUGAGGAUGGCCCUCGAGCGGCUCAAGGUCGCUUAGCCGAAUGCCGCCUAAACAGAAGGGGGGCUACGAGCCCCUCCA